Molecule: microRNA precursor, 79 nt
Filed under: Jaculus jaculus (lesser Egyptian jerboa)
Lineage: Eukaryota; Metazoa; Chordata; Mammalia; Rodentia; Dipodidae
Description: miRNA (ENSJJAG00000001510.1)
Source: RNAcentral
ACCCCGCCUGCUCGGCGCGGCGGCGGCGGCGGCUGGGCAGCGGUGCUCCUGCCCCUCCGCCACCUCCCCCGCAGCCUCU